RNAcentral lists this ribosomal RNA (548 nucleotides) under uncultured marine eukaryote. Its description in RNAcentral is "SSU rRNA". It matches the Rfam family "Eukaryotic small subunit ribosomal RNA", at positions 617 to 1171 of the family's 1831-position model. The record is from RNAcentral.
GGUUAAAAAGCUCGUAGUUGGAUUUCUGUCAGAAGCGUCUGGUCCGCACUUCGUGCGAGUAUCUGGAACGUUUGUGGCAUCCUCGCGGGGAACAGUGUGCGCUUUACUGCGUCGCUGGGAUUCGCGACUUUUACUUUGAGGAAAUUAGAGUGUUCACGGCAGGCAUGCGUCUUGAAUACAUUAGCAUGGAAUAAUAAUAUAGGGCCUCCGUCCUAUUUUGUUGGUUUCUAGGAUUGAGGUAAUGAUUAAUAGGGAUAAUUGGGGGCAUUCGUAUUAACGCGUCAGAGGUGGAAUUCUUGGAUUGCGUUACGACGAACUACUGCGAAAGCAUUUGCCAAGGAUGUUUUCAUUGAUCAAGAACGAAAGUAUAGGGAUCGAAGAUGAUUAGAUACCGUCGUAGUCUAUACCAUAAACUAUGCCGACUAGGGAUUGGAGGUUGUUCUAUUUUUGACGCCUUCGGCACCUUAUGAGAAAUCAAAGUCUUUGGGUCCCGGGGGGAGUAUGGUCGCAAGGCUGAAACUUAAAGGAAUUGACGGAAGGGCACCACC